CCUUACGACCACACCGGCCUGAGUACGCCUGAUCUCGUCUGAUCUCAGAAGCUAAGCAGGGUCGGGCCUGGUUAGUACUUGGAUGGGAAACUUCCUGGGAAUACCAGGUGCUGUAAGCU
Oncorhynchus tshawytscha (Chinook salmon) is the source of this 119-nucleotide ribosomal RNA. The record is from Ensembl. NCBI's taxonomy places the organism in Eukaryota, Metazoa, Chordata, Actinopteri, Salmoniformes, Salmonidae.